RNAcentral lists this ribosomal RNA (269 nucleotides) under uncultured prokaryote. Its description in RNAcentral is "partial 16S ribosomal RNA". It matches the Rfam family "Bacterial small subunit ribosomal RNA", at positions 524 to 792 of the family's 1533-position model. The record is from RNAcentral.
GACGAAGGUGGCUAGCGUUGUUCGGAAUCAUUGGGCUUAAAGAGCAUGUAGGCGGCCCGGUAAGCGUCUUGUGAAAUCCCUCGGCUCAACCGAGGAAUGGCUGGGCGAACUAUCGGACUUGAGGCAGGUAGGGGCGUGUGGAACUCUUGGUGGAGCGGUGGAAUGCGUAGAUAUCAAGAGGAACGCCAGUGGCGAAGGCGACACGCUGGGCUUGUCCUGACGCUGAGAUGCGAAAGCCAGGGGAGCGAACGGGAUUAGAUACCCCCGUA